Molecule: non-coding RNA, 64 nt
Organism: Cavia porcellus (domestic guinea pig)
Lineage: Eukaryota; Metazoa; Chordata; Mammalia; Rodentia; Caviidae
Source: Rfam
GGGGGUUUAGCUCAGUGGCAUAAGCACCUGCCUUGAAAGCAGGCUGUCGCGAGUUCGAUCCCCG